Molecule: ribosomal RNA, 1310 nt
Filed under: Microbacterium testaceum
Lineage: Bacteria; Bacillati; Actinomycetota; Actinomycetes; Micrococcales; Microbacteriaceae
Description: bacterial SSU rRNA
Rfam family: Bacterial small subunit ribosomal RNA
Source: RNAcentral
GAUCAGUGGCGAACGGGUGAGUAACACGUGAGCAACCUGCCCUGGACUCUGGGAUAAGCGCUGGAAACGGCGUCUAAUACUGGAUAUGAGACGUGAUCGCAUGGUCGUGUUUGGAAAGAUUUUUCGGUCUGGGAUGGGCUCGCGGCCUAUCAGCUUGUUGGUGAGGUAAUGGCUCACCAAGGCGUCGACGGGUAGCCGGCCUGAGAGGGUGACCGGCCACACUGGGACUGAGACACGGCCCAGACUCCUACGGGAGGCAGCAGUGGGGAAUAUUGCACAAUGGGCGGAAGCCUGAUGCAGCAACGCCGCGUGAGGGAUGACGGCCUUCGGGUUGUAAACCUCUUUUAGCAGGGAAGAAGCGAAAGUGACGGUACCUGCAGAAAAAGCGCCGGCUAACUACGUGCCAGCAGCCGCGGUAAUACGUAGGGCGCAAGCGUUAUCCGGAAUUAUUGGGCGUAAAGAGCUCGUAGGCGGUUUGUCGCGUCUGCUGUGAAAUCCCGAGGCUCAACCUCGGGCCUGCAGUGGGUACGGGCAGACUAGAGUGCGGUAGGGGAGAUUGGAAUUCCUGGUGUAGCGGUGGAAUGCGCAGAUAUCAGGAGGAACACCGAUGGCGAAGGCAGAUCUCUGGGCCGUAACUGACGCUGAGGAGCGAAAGGGUGGGGAGCAAACAGGCUUAGAUACCCUGGUAGUCCACCCCGUAAACGUUGGGAACUAGUUGUGGGGACCAUUCCACGGUUUCCGUGACGCAGCUAACGCAUUAAGUUCCCCGCCUGGGGAGUACGGCCGCAAGGCUAAAACUCAAAGGAAUUGACGGGGACCCGCACAAGCGGCGGAGCAUGCGGAUUAAUUCGAUGCAACGCGAAGAACCUUACCAAGGCUUGACAUAUACGAGAACGGGCCAGAAAUGGUCAACUCUUUGGACACUCGUAAACAGGUGGUGCAUGGUUGUCGUCAGCUCGUGUCGUGAGAUGUUGGGUUAAGUCCCGCAACGAGCGCAACCCUCGUUCUAUGUUGCCAGCACGUAAUGGUGGGAACUCAUGGGAUACUGCCGGGGUCAACUCGGAGGAAGGUGGGGAUGACGUCAAAUCAUCAUGCCCCUUAUGUCUUGGGCUUCACGCAUGCUACAAUGGCCGGUACAAAGGGCUGCAAUACCGUGAGGUGGAGCGAAUCCCAAAAAGCCGGUCCCAGUUCGGAUUGAGGUCUGCAACUCGACCUCAUGAAGUCGGAGUCGCUAGUAAUCGCAGAUCAGCAACGCUGCGGUGAAUACGUUCCCGGGUCUUGUACACACCGCCCGUCAAGUCAUGAAAGUC